Molecule: ribosomal RNA, 496 nt
Filed under: uncultured bacterium
Lineage: Bacteria
Description: partial 16S ribosomal RNA
Rfam family: Bacterial small subunit ribosomal RNA
Source: RNAcentral
AUGAACGCUGGCGGCGUGCCUAAUACAUGCAAGUCGAGCGAACGGACGAGAAGCUUGCUUCUCUGAUGUUAGCGGCGGACGGGUGAGUAACACGUGGAUAACCUACCUAUAAGACUGGGAUAACUUCGGGAAACCGGAGCUAAUACCGGAUAAUAUUUUGAACCGCAUGGUUCAAAAGUGAAAGACGGUCUUGCUGUCACUUAUAGAUGGAUCCGCGCUGCAUUAGCUAGUUGGUAAGGUAACGGCUUACCAAGGCAACGAUGCAUAGCCGACCUGAGAGGGUGAUCGGCCACACUGGAACUGAGACACGGUCCAGACUCCUACGGGAGGCAGCAGUAGGGAAUCUUCCGCAAUGGGCGAAAGCCUGACGGAGCAACGCCGCGUGAGUGAUGAAGGUCUUCGGAUUGUAAAACUCUGUUAUUAGGGAAGAACAUAUGUGUAAGUAACUGUGCACAUCUUGACGGUACCUAAUCAGAAAGCCACGGCUAACUACGUG